GGGUAUAGCUCAGUGGUAGAGCAAGUGCUUAGCAUGCACGAGGUCCUGGGUUCAAUCCCCAGUGCUCUCCCUUAAAUAAGUAAUAUAUAAACCGAAUUACCUACUCCCCUAAAAAAAAAAAU
Molecule: non-coding RNA, 122 nt
Organism: Vicugna pacos (alpaca)
Lineage: Eukaryota; Metazoa; Chordata; Mammalia; Artiodactyla; Camelidae
Source: RefSeq, a predicted model, not a curated record